RNAcentral lists this long non-coding RNA (1306 nucleotides) under Rattus norvegicus (Norway rat). RNAcentral describes it as "long non-coding RNA NONRATT026762". Lineage: Eukaryota; Metazoa; Chordata; Mammalia; Rodentia; Muridae. The record is from RNAcentral.
GGUGACUGCUUCAUUUCUAAGGUUGGACUAAUGCUGACACUCGGGAAGAAACGACCAACAUCAGAUGUACAAAUAAAAGAGGUUCGUAGUGGAGACAUAGUAUAGGAAAGCAAAGGAAAACAGCCCGCUUCCUUAACUCGAGUAAGAACACUCCGCUCACACUUUUGGAGAACACCUUGGACUGUGAAAUAUUUCCUACUUAUAGAUGCACAAUUCUGAUUGUUGUAUGUGUGUGAAUGUGUGUGUGUGUGCAUCUCACUUGGGCCUUGUGCACACAGAUCUGGAACUGGAGUUGCAGACAGCCGUGAGCUGCCGUCUCUCCAGCUUGUCCCUCUCGCUUUAAAAGUAAAUAAUUUUUCUACAUUGUAUGUGUCUAUGAGGGUGUACCUGUGUGUGUGUGGCAGUCAGAUGACGGCUUUUAGGAGUCUGUUCUCUCCUGUCUAGGUUUUCAUGAUCAAACAGACUCAGGACAUCAGGGUUGGUAGCAAUACCUUUAUGUGCUGAGCCAUUUCUCUGGUGCGGAUCUCCACAUCCUAAUCAUUGUGUAUUCAUCGCAAUUAAACAUAGUCUAAUUGUCUCUAGAGAAUGGGUUAUUUUCCGUUCUUUACCUAUCAUGUGGUGGUGAGCCACCUUAUAUGUAUAUAUUUCUGUGGGUAUUCUGGCUUUUCCUGCAUGUGUGUGCCCAUUUUUAAGGUGUUUGGACUACUCACUAGACAUCCGAACUGUGUAGCCCACCCACUGAAUCCCAUUGAACAGGCUCACCCAAGGAUUCAGACCCCCCCCCCCAAAAAAAAACCCCUUUUUGCUCACACUCCUAAAGGAAGAAAAACAAGUUUGGGACAUGCUAAAAUGGAAAGGAGAGUGGGCCUCGUGUAGCUCACAGACAGAGCAUAGAGCCUCACCUUUGAUCCCUCUCAUCACAAAAACAAAUGCAAACAAGCCAGACAUUGGGGAGUUUGCUGACAGAGUGAAUGAGAGGUGAAGUUCCAGGACCACAAGGGGCAGCAAGACUGAUCAUCCUGCACCAAACUCAGCAUCAGCAGUGCAGUGUGCACACACCAGGAGGCGUCCUUAGAUUUCUCACCAUGCUAAAGGGAACGUAGCGACGGCAACAGAGAGCAACAAUGAACAAGACCGAGUAAGAUACGGGAUAGCAUGGACUACAGAUGCUGUGAGAUGCUCAAUUCUGGGAAGAGUCAAGGUGGAUUCAAAUGUGUACGCACAAAGCUUGGGGCAGGGACUACAAUAGAAGAAUGGGGGGUGAAGAAAAUGCCAGUGUUUAUACAAAAUAUAUUUGUAUGAAAAU